Molecule: transfer RNA, 68 nt
Filed under: Marmota monax (woodchuck)
Lineage: Eukaryota; Metazoa; Chordata; Mammalia; Rodentia; Sciuridae
Description: tRNA.Ala
Rfam family: tRNA
About the family: Transfer RNA (tRNA) molecules are approximately 80 nucleotides in length. Their secondary structure includes four short double-helical elements and three loops (D, anti-codon, and T loops).
Source: RNAcentral
GGAUGGUGGCACAGUGGUAGAGCACUUGCCUAGCAUGCAUGAAGCACUGGGUUCAAUCCCCAGUACCA